AUUCAUAACCUGCUAAUGAGGAGGAGGCUUAUGAACUCUAGGAGUGCUGGAGGAGAGGAAGAUUAGUGUUUAAAGGACUCAAGCCUGCAGUGAUGAACAUGAUGGUGGCUUCUUCCAUUAAUUUGGAGCCUUGUUGACUUCCGUGGAGCUGUGCAUGAAUUCAAGGUUCCCACUCAUGCUGCCUGGUCAGUAGCUAAG
Molecule: long non-coding RNA, 198 nt
Organism: Alligator mississippiensis (American alligator)
Lineage: Eukaryota; Metazoa; Chordata; Crocodylia; Alligatoridae
Exons: 2
Source: RefSeq, a predicted model, not a curated record